Long non-coding RNA from Grammomys surdaster, 735 nucleotides. RefSeq lists it as uncharacterized. The record is from RefSeq and is a predicted model, not a curated record. NCBI's taxonomy places the organism in Eukaryota, Metazoa, Chordata, Mammalia, Rodentia, Muridae. The transcript is spliced from 3 exons.
CUUGGCUGUGUUCUAGUUCAAGAGACAAGGUACUUGUGAAGAAAAGAUGUUUUUCCCAUGGAGCUGUCAUUGCAGAAACCACCGCACACACGCAUUGACUCACUAAGAAGGAAAAAGUCAGAAGGGGUCAUUCUCCAUUCUCCCGUUUCUAACGUAUAGCCACGUGUGACAGGGAAUGCAAUUUCUUGAAGAGAAUUAGAAUAAGCCUUGAAUAACAGUGUCUCAACUUGAAACAUGCAUGGACAUUCACAAAGGGACCAGUUCUGCUCUAUGAAUUUGUUCAUCAGAAAGAAGCUGAAUCCAGUUUCUGCCUAUUACACACAAAGCUGCUAUGACCAUAGUUGAGCGAGUGUCCCUGUGGUAAGGUGGAGCUUUUUGAGGGUAUAUGUCCAGGAGUGGUAUGGUUGAGGUAGAACUAUUCCCAAUUUUUGAAAAAGUGACCAAAUUGAUUUCCAAAGUGGCUGUACAAGUUUACACUCCCACCAAUAAUGGAAGAGUGUGUCCCUUGCUCCAUAUCUCCCUCAGCAUAAACUGUCACUUGAGAUUUUGAUCUUAGCCAUUCUGACAGGUGUAAGAUGGAACCUCAGAGUCAUUUUGAUUUACGUUUCUCUAGUGACUAAGGAUGUUGAACAACUCUUUGUUUCUCAGCCAUCAGACAUUCCUCUGUUGAGAAUUCUCUGUCUAGCUCUGUACCCCAUGUGAGUCCCCUAAUGGUUACAGUGGGGCUGCCUCUGU